AACUAACUGAGAAGAAGAGAUAGAUGUCAUCCUAAAGCUGUUCAUACAACAUCAGAAUCAAGGAGUCAAGUCUAGACCAUGAGGUAUUCCACCUGAUGAAUUCAAACAGAUCCAAAAAUAAUGUUCUACUAGUGCGAAAGUACCAGUUAUAGCCCACGGAUUGACGCAGUUUGAAGAGAGGUUUCUUUUUCUAAUGGAGAACAGAAAAUCUGAAUGGCUUCAUUCAACUUCCGACACGGACUAAAAUGACAGACUGUCUUGGAUUGGACACAGUCUCGUUCCCCCUCAGGCUCUGGUUGGCUAACUUUACUAUAAGGACACUUAUUGGAUAUGGUUUCUAACAACUCUAUCUUGCAAUUUUUGACCAGAGAAUCCUGCAUGUAAGAGCCCUGUUUAUUUUUUCUAACUCCAGAUACACACCACAAGUUGAAAUGGUUAAAGAAAAUACAUUAGACAAAGAAGAACAAUGUGAAUUUGUGAGUUUAUCACUGCUCCACAUGCAGUAUUGCUCAAGACCCACCCUGCUUCAGUCUUUGUACAGUCAAAAGUGUCACCCACUAUGACAGACCUAAAAGAAAACAUUGUUGCUACUCUAGAUUAAUUGAACAUAUUAAGAAUUGCCCAGGAAUAAAUUUGACAGUAAUAUGGUAGGUCAAGAGUAUACUCAAAUAAGCUUGUGCUGACAUUGCUCUCAAACAAUGUGAAAGAGCCCACCACUGCACUUUGGACAAAGUUUGUAAAUAUUUGCCCUACCACACACACACACACACAGUGUUCACCUGUAACAACGUAAAGAUUACUUGUCAGCCUAUGAGGGAUUUCUCUGAUCUUUAUUAGCCAGUGUACCUUAUUGAUGCCAUUGGGUUUCUUUCUGCAAUGAUGGUGUCUGUCAGCUAAUCCCAGCAAAGGUCAACCAGACAGUUCAGUUAGGUCCAAAUGCCUCAGUUAAAGUGAAUGGAAAAUAUAUGAUUUUAUUUGGUGCUUAUCCAUCUAUUUUCUGGGGGGAAUGUAGCUGGAUCUACGCAAACAUUGGAAUCAUAAUAAGACUACUUUUGAGGUCUGCAAACGUUAUGAUUUCGAAGUGGACUGUCCCUUUAAAGACAGCAUUGUAUAUUUGUGAAUGUUACCCUUUUCUUGGAAUAUGUAUUCCAUGUAAUGUUUACAGGAGACUAAUCAUAUAAAAGAACCAAAUGUUGCUUGACUGCUAGCUUCCCGCCAGCUUCUAGAUUUGGGUCUGCGGGGAAAGACUGAGA
This is a long non-coding RNA of Oncorhynchus masou masou (cherry salmon), 1253 nucleotides long. RefSeq lists it as uncharacterized. NCBI's taxonomy places the organism in Eukaryota, Metazoa, Chordata, Actinopteri, Salmoniformes, Salmonidae. The transcript is spliced from 3 exons. The record is from RefSeq and is a predicted model, not a curated record.